Molecule: long non-coding RNA, 714 nt
Filed under: Medicago truncatula (barrel medic)
Lineage: Eukaryota; Viridiplantae; Streptophyta; Magnoliopsida; Fabales; Fabaceae
Description: long non-coding RNA (MTRU_LNC008489)
Source: RNAcentral
AACAUGAUGCAGCUUUAAUUGGUAGUUGAUAUUAUAUCAUAUAUGAAAAAGUCAAAGCAAAGACAUUCCUUUUCUUGAUAAUGCUUACAACUUGGUAUAUGAACUUUGUCUUCUAUUGAGACAUUAAACAAUGACAUUCACGUUAAAGCAUUGCCUUGAUUUUCAUAUACCAUAUUUGUGUUUGUCUGUAGAGAAAAAUCCAUUGACAAUGACAUAUCAAUGCUUUGGCAAAGCUUUAAUUUUGUCCCAUAGUGUAUUGGCCAAAAAUGCUUUGACAAUGACAUAUCAAUGCUUUGGCAAAGCUUUAAUUUUGUCCCAUAGUGUAUAGGCCAAAAAUGUGUUUCAUUUUUCCAACACAAUAUUUCAUCUGUCCUUAAUCAAACACAAACCUAUCCAUUUAAAAAAUCAGCAAUGCAACAUUCUUCUCUAACAUAAAUUUCUUCAACAAUGGAACCAAAUGAUCCAUCAAGUAAAGGGAUGAAGAAAAAAUUAACAGUUGCACAAAGCAAUUUUAUCAACAAAGGUAUGUCCAAAUGUUCUUCACCAUGUCAAAUAUAUAUUACUUGGGUAAUGAAAUGGAUAAUAUUAUUUCCAAUCAUGAUAGUUAUUUUAUUACCAUUGUAGAGAAUGUGUUUUGCACUAAAUCUUCAAUGAAACAAGUUAACAAGUUAUCCAGGGAGCCUUUUAGAAGUCCUCUUUCUCCAUUGAUGAAUG